GUCCCUAAGAGAGGCCCCCGACUGNNANCGGANNGAGACGGAGCCCCUCGAGAGGAACCUCCCCCUGUUGCGGGAGGCGUGGCGAACGGAUCAUCAACACGAAUCCAACACUGCCCUGAAGAUAAGGACAACCCCGAGAAACUGGAAUUAAUCCUUGAGAGGGCGGUGGCUCUGGAAGGAAAGAUGGAUUGAAGGGGAACGCGACCUUCUUCCGCGAAUUCGCUCCAUGAUGGGACUGCCUCCAAUCAGGCUGUAGGCGGGGUAAUGGCCCACCAAACCUGUAAACCGGUACGGGCCUUGAGAGAGGUGGCCCGGAGAUGGGACACUGAGAGAAGGGUCCAGGUCCUACGGGGCGCAGCAGGCGCGAAACCUUUGCAAUGCGCGAAAGCGUGACGAGGUUAAUCCGAGUGACUCCCGCUUAGGAGGACUUUUGUCAGCUGUAAAUAGGCAGGCGAAUAAGGGGAGGGCAAGCCUGGUGUCAGCCGCCGCGGUAAUACCAGCUCCUCGAGUGCUCGGAGCGAUUAUUGGGCCUAAAGCAUCCGUAGAAAAAAACGUAGGUCCUCUGUUAAAUCCAACCGCUUAACGGUUGACCUGCAGAGGAUACCGCGGGACUAGGAGGCGGGAGAGGCGGACGGUACUCCGCGUGUAGGGGUAAAAUCCUUUGAUCCGCGGAAGACCACCAGUGGCGAAGGCGGUCCGCCAGAACGCGCUUGACGGUGAGGGAUGAAACCCGGGGGAGCGAACCGGAUUAGAUACCCGGGUAGUCCCAGCCGUAAACGAUGCGAGCUAGAUGAUUCAUUCGCAAGUCGCGAAUGCAGUGUCGCAGGGAAGCCGUUAAGCCUCCAAAAUGGCCAGUACGGUCGC
RNAcentral lists this ribosomal RNA (864 nucleotides) under uncultured archaeon. RNAcentral's name for it is "bacterial SSU rRNA". It matches the Rfam family "Archaeal small subunit ribosomal RNA", at positions 1 to 844 of the family's 1478-position model. The record is from RNAcentral.